GGAUGCGAUCAUACCAGCACUAACGCACCGGAUCCCAACAGAACUCCGAAGAUAAGCGUGCAUGGUCGAGAGUAGUACUAGGAUGGGUGACCCCCUGGGAAGUCCCCGUGUUGCAUCCC
RNAcentral lists this ribosomal RNA (119 nucleotides) under Nicotiana attenuata. The record is from RNAcentral. Lineage: Eukaryota; Viridiplantae; Streptophyta; Magnoliopsida; Solanales; Solanaceae.